RNA transcript from Anopheles maculipalpis, 1919 nucleotides. It is a transcript of the gene named BUB3-interacting and GLEBS motif-containing protein ZNF207, with no coding region annotated. The record is from RefSeq and is a predicted model, not a curated record. The transcript has 7 exons. Lineage: Eukaryota; Metazoa; Arthropoda; Insecta; Diptera; Culicidae.
ACGUUACAAGUGUGAGUGGUGGUGGUUUGGGCUUCACGGCAAAGUAGAGCGUGCCAUCUGAACAAGCAAUAGACGGGCUACGGCGACGUCAGAAGAGCCGACGGGGACCGAUUAAAGGCUGAAAAGUUAAGCGUGUGCCUCAAAGCUAAUUUUGUCCGGUUUACAGCAAAUAGCUUACUAGUAAAACACAUUUUCUACCGCAAUGGGCCGCAAGAAGAAGAAGGCAUCAAAGCCCUGGUGCUGGUACUGCAACAGAGAAUUCGACGAUGAAAAGAUUCUGGUACAACAUCAGAAGGCGAAGCAUUUUAAAUGCCACAUUUGUCACAAAAAGCUUUACACGGGUCCAGGACUUUCGAUACACUGUAUGCAAGUGCACAAGGAAUCGAUCGACAAGGUUCCAAAUUCGCUUCCCAACCGGUCGAACAUAGUGAUCGAAAUUUACGGCAUGGAAGGAAUACCUCCGGAAGAUAUCCGUGACCACGAAAAGCAGAAGAAUGGAAACCGGUCCGAGUCAGAGGAAGAGGAACCAGCGCACAAGAAAAUGAAACAACCGGAAGCAUCCGUACCACAGGGAAUGAUGCAGAUACAGAAUAUGAUGCCACCGCAUCUGCAGGCAGCGUACGGUAUCAAUCCUAUGAUGAGCGCGAUGGGAGGCAUGAACCCGUACAUGGUGCCACCGGGAAUGCAAAUGAUGCCGACGAUGAUGGCCACCGCUCCCCGGCCGCUUUUCCCAGCAGCUGCAACUGCAAAUGCCGCUACCGUACCUACCACCUCCAAGCCGACAUUUCCAGCUUACAGUUCAGCCACGAUAAGUGCCCCGCCAACCACUAACAGUGCUAUCUCAGCUGCGGCAGCAAGCAAUAAUAGCAAUAAUGGGCUGGGUGGUGGUGACCUUUCGAAGGGUGGAUCCACAACCGGACUACCAAACUCGGCCACCGCAACUUCCAAGAUUGUACAUCCGCCUGAGGAUCUGAGCUUGGAGGAAAUUCGGGCACGGAUGCCUCAGUAUCAAAAGCAAAUCCAGCAAGCCACCCAGCAAAUGCUGCAGCAAAAGCAGCAGGAAAAACAACAAGCGCAGGUGGCGGCUGCAGUUGCGGCGGCUCAGCAGCAAUUACAGGCACAGGCCCAAGCACAACUAAAGCAACACCAGCAGCAGCAACAGCAACAGCAGCAGCAGCAGCAACAGCAACAGCAACAACAGCAGCAGCAGCAACAACAGCAACAUCAGGCUCAGCUACAGCAAUUAUCGCCUUUUUCAUCGGCCGCUGGAACCGCAUCGAUCAUUUCCAACACGCAAACGACCGCCGUAAUGAAAGACAAUCGAAUGAUGUCACCGCAGGAGCAAGCCGCUGUGAUAGCGCAUGCUCAUGCCGCUGCGGCCAACCACCAUAAACAGAUCGAGGAAUUGAAUCGUGCAGCAAUGAUUCAACGAUUUCAGGCAGCAAACGCGGCUGCGGCAAAUGCUGCCGCAGCUGCCGCCAGCAGACCAGGAAUGCCAAUCGGAAUGGUUCCAGUAUCGCUCGGAGGUCCCGUACCGUUAAUGCCACCCAUGAUGCGCCAAGGAUUGGCACUUGGCCCCCCGGGGGGCGGUAACUUGGCGUUAUUGGGUGGAAAUAUGCUUCGUCCUGGUCCCCCCCAAAUGGGUCUUGGUCCAGUGCAAUGACGUCUCACAAAUUCGAGUUCAACGCACUCGAGAUUUCCUCGUGCGCAAACUGUGUCCGCCCAAGGACACCAGUGCAGUACACAAUCGAGAAAUGAAAAAUGAAAUAAAAUAUAAUAAAGGGAUGGAUGAUAGUUUCAUACCUGUUACCACUCUUCCCCGUGUCUAAGAUAAGCCUAUAAAAUACUACUAACUCACUUAAAUGUGUAUUCUACUACCCCUUUUCUGCCAGUAACAUUGUGUGUAUGUGUGCAUUUGU